GUACAAUUUCUUAAUUUUGAUUGGCCGAAAGCUUUAUCUAUCACAACUACUGCGUCAGUUUGUACUCAAACAACUUUACCGCGAGGGGCUGUCAAAAGAAAGGCUUCAUGGUAAACACUAAGGCAAUUUGCAAUUCUGGAUCUGCCUCCCGGGAGCCUUUUGGCCAUGGAGACCAGCUGCUGGGUGUCUGCCACACCAGAGUCAGUUUGGAGAGAUCGGAGGAGAUGCGGAUGAAGAGACAGGGCUGAGGAGCUAGCACUGAGCGUCAGGACAGACAACCUUCACAGUCUUGGCUGAAUGAGCAGGUAUCGGACACCUCAUUCUUCCUGGCCAAGAGUUGGUUGGCGGCCGAGAGUGGAGUCGGCUCUAUUGGUUGCUUUGUUGGGUCUGCUCCUGUCUCUGGCCAUGCUUUCUGGACCCCAGCAGACGACGGCAUGGAACACCGCAGAGGCCACCACAGAGUAUAUGUUUCUUUUACUUUUUAAUCAUGGCUGUAUGUAGAAGUGGCUGGUUGCAUCAGCUCCGCUACUUUAAUGUCUUUCAUGUCCUUUGUGAUCUUUGAUGUUUCCCUCUUACACCCUUGUAAGAGGGAUGUGUACUAUGGCUAUGAGUUUUUUGUUUUCCCUUAGCCUCAGUCUGGACCCCCUUUACAGGGGCCCAGGUUUAGACCGAUUUUUUUAUUUUAUUUUAAUGUUUUAUUUUUUUCUCCCAUUCACCUCACUUGUUUACCUGUAUCACACCUUUUUUGUAAGGGGCGCUGGAAGUUGGCUGGCCCGUCAGCAAUCCCGUUCUGUCUCCCUGUAAUGUUUGUCUGAUCUUGAAUGGGAUUGUGCUAAAAAAAUUGUAUUUACCCCCUGGGAUUAAUAAAGUAUGUCUGAUUCUGA
This is a long non-coding RNA of Nerophis ophidion (straightnose pipefish), 884 nucleotides long. RefSeq lists it as uncharacterized. The transcript has 2 exons. The record is from RefSeq and is a predicted model, not a curated record. Lineage: Eukaryota; Metazoa; Chordata; Actinopteri; Syngnathiformes; Syngnathidae.